AAUAGAUAGAAAGAGAGAGACAUUCUGAGAUGGGGCGUCAGGCAGGAGUGAUGUAGGGGUGCAUUCGCUGCAGAUCGCCCGUCUACACAGGCUGGGUGUCGCCGCAUAGUUGCAGUCGUAACAUCAUUCUAAAGAUGGAUGAUUAACUCUGGUGCUGGAAGAUGGGAGAAGGAAAAAUGAGGCCAGAAAAACUUCAGGUAGACUAACCAUGUCUCUCUGCGGCCGUCUCUGCCCCCAGGGCGGGGUUACGAAGAAGACCUAUUUUCUCCCACCAUAAAAUUCCUUGUGACGUGUCUUAUACAGUGAAAUCUUAACCUGCUGACUGGGGAGACAUUGCUGAAGAAAUCCCAUGUGGAGUGAGGAGAAAAAAGUGUCGGCAAAUUAAACCAGAUUGGGAUUUUAAUGGACAUGAAAAGAGUCAUGAACAAAUAAUUUGGCUUGAAUUCGAGUCCAGCAUCACCCUCCCUGGUAUACAAAAUUUUGAAGGGACAACAUUUUUGAAGACAUCAGGACGUCAUUCCGGUAAAGUAUUUAAACAGAACAACUCUGCAAAGAUGGUCGGAAUGAUUGCCUCAUGGUUCGCAAAUGCCUGGAAACAUUGACCAACCAUUGAAACCAGAAGAUCGCAUACAUUCUGCUUCGGCUAUUUCUAAAGAAGAAAGAAAACAAGUUGAAUGAAGAUGAAUUGCAGGUGAAUUUACAAAAUCAGGUGGAUCGGAAUUUUUAUAUUAAUUGUUCUUUUAUUAUUUUGUUUUUUAAGUUCUUUUGGAAAAUGUUUUUAUGAAGUAGAUUUGUGACUGUGUAUUAGCGUGGUGUAUGUCAUGAUUUCACUUGGGAUAGAAUAGAGCAUCGGUGUUAUUACAAGUACAUAAUAAGUGUGCUGUAUUACAUAUUUUAAGAAGGGACAUUUUACAUAUAUUUUCCAAAGGUUUGCAAAAGAAAGGUCAUAGUUAAUAUUAUUGUUAGAAGAUGAUUGUUAGAAAGCAGGAAUACUAUACAUAAUUUCCUCAGGUACAGCAGUUUUCGCUAGAAGUUCAAUAUCAUGCUGUAAAAUGUAGGGCUGUUAACCUGUCAAUUAGCAUUAAAACAAACGAGUCUUUACUGGUAGUUGUAUCAAACAGACAAUACUGCUAGUUGUACCAAACAGACAACUUCUAGGUAAAUGAAAGACCCACUUACCGCACGUCAUGCAUAGCCGCUUCUCUUGCUCUGAAGGCCUCCUCUGUCCAUUGCGUGUCCCUUCGUCCGUAUGUAUCCUGGCGGGUGAUCUGUACCUUUUUUGGCUCUGUCUUUUGGUGUCAUUCUGGAAUGUCACUUGCUUAUGAGUAUUAACUAGUUCACGGUUUGUUUUUGUUUGUAUUGUAUUCACGUGGUGUUUACACGGUCUGCACCAAAGUUCGUAAGUUUUGGGAAACAGCGAACGUGCUGUCCUGAAAGGCUGUUGCUAUAAUUUGAUCAAGAUUUAGUGGUGUACAAGAAUUGACGUGUUAGUUUUGGUUUUGGUUACCCUCUGGCCCAGUGGCUAAUUCAGCCCUAUCGGCUGUCCUUCAAUAUUGGUACUUGUACCAAACAGACAAUUCUGGUAGUUGUGCCAAUAUCUUCUGUCUCAUGUCCAGACUUUCCCCUGAAACUCGAUCUACUCUUAUGGUUUCGUCUUAGCUUAAUAUUUUCAGUUUUUGACGUGUCCUUUUUCAUCUUUUCUGUACCCAGCAUUCCUCUCAGUCUGUUGUCUUCAGAGACAAUUUUCAAGUGAGUAGUUUUAUAAGUUUCACAUAAUUCUUCUUUCUGAUUUUUUUAGUUUUUCAGCUUUUGCAAGAAUAAAGUCAAAUAUCUGUUAGUCCUUUUGUUCUACAUGCAGCAUUUUGUCAGAUUUGAACUUCAAGCAUUUAAGCUCAUCUUUUACCGUUUUUUUUCUAGGUCUUAAAUGCCAUUGAUAUAAAUAGCAUUGCAGAAAGGCAAUUCCUGCUUCAUAGUUUUUUUUCUAAGUCCCUUUGUCUCGGGCUCUGUCCCAACUCAGUCACCGUGUUUCCUGGAUCACACAUAAUCCUCCCUAGCCUUCAAAGGCCAUUUCCAAGUUAUAUCUCCCACCUCGUGCCAAGUGCCCCGGUCACGAUCAUUCCUGAAUGUCUAUUGACUGCCCCUUUUUAAGCUUAUCUUUGAAUAUGAAUAUGGUUUUAAUUAUUCUUACCAGUUAUAAAGUACCCGUUUUUUCUUAGCAAUUAUACUAAAUACCCAAAGUGAUAUUUUACACCGUGUUAUACUCUUUCUUUAGUCCGGUAACCGCUUUAUCCCGUGUUCUGUAGGAUUUUCCGUCCAUUGCCAUACAUAUAUCACCGCAGUUUUCUCGGGUGCCAACUGGGGUAAAAUCAUAUAGGUGAAACGCAUUAUAGGCGGCUAAAUAUAUAGUUAUCAACAGAGUUUGUUGUAUGUGUGCGUGGGGGUCUAUUUCCCGUUAUUAAUCUCUCUAUCCCGGUGAUAAUCAAGGAAGGACUAGUCACUGAUUUUCCCGUAAAGUUUUUCAUUUCGUGAAGGAAACAAUUGGUCAAUACACUCCAAUCUAGUAGCAACUGCCUAGAAAGUAGCUAUUUGAAAUAAACAGUCUGAAGAGCACUGUAGCCGACACUACGUUAAAUCCCACGAAGAAAUGUAGCGAAUAAAUAAAUAGUAAGUAAGCGAGUAAGUAAGUAAGUAAGUGUUAAAAUAGAGCCAGUGGUCUCUUUUCACACCCUUUUGACUAUCACGCCCAAACGAUAGCCAAACCCCAACUUUCACGUGAUGCGUCUUAUGUAAAUUCUAUUUCCAAAUUUCCUUUUAAAGGUGCCAAAUAUAUAACUCCAAGCAGCUUACUCUCUUACUCUCUUACUCUCUUGACUUGCUUUUUUAAUUGCGAAGGAAACAUUGCCAUUGCAGCAUGACUACGUUCCUCCGCUAGGUCUGAAUGAAAAAUGGCUUUUGCACGCCGACACGUGCUACAAGAACAUGGGGGAUAAUGUUGGAUAGCUGGAUCCGAUAAGGAGGGGGAAAGGGUAGAUAAAUGAUCACUUUGGUCCAAAACUGUGAUCAAAUUAUAAAAAUUUUUGAAAGUCAGUUUCCGAACAUAACGCAUUUUGUUGGGAAAGGGAAAUAUCCAAUGUAGCACAAAGAGCCUGGACGAUCACAGGGAAAUCAUAAAGAUUGAAAGCAUUACAAAUAGCCGUAUAAAUAUUUGUCAAAUUAUUCCGCGGCCAAUGGUGAAUAAUUGGGGCCAAAAAGGAU
Molecule: long non-coding RNA, 3255 nt
Filed under: Lingula anatina
Lineage: Eukaryota; Metazoa; Brachiopoda; Lingulata; Lingulida; Lingulidae
Description: uncharacterized LOC106172465
Source: RNAcentral